CCUACGGGCGGCUGCAGUGAGGAAUAUUGGUCAAUGGACGGAAGUCUGAACCAGCCAUGCCGCGUGCAGGAAGACGGCUCUAUGAGUUGUAAGCUGCUUUUGUACAAGGGUAAACCUGAAUACGUGUAUUCUACUGACCGUACUGUACGUAUAAGGAUCGGCUAACUCCGUGCCAGCAGCCGCGAUAAUACGGAGGAUCCAAGCGGUAUCCGGAUUUAUUGGGUUUAAAGGGUGCGUAGGCGUAUAGAUAAGUUAGAGGUGAAAUGUCCGAGCUUAACUCGGGAACUGCCUCUAAUACUGUGGAACUAGAGAGUAGGUGCGGCAGACGGAAUGUAUGGUGUAGCGGUGAAAUGCUUAGAGAUCAUACAGAACACCGAUUGCGAAGGCAGCUUACCAAUCUAUAUCUGACGUUGAGGCACGAAAGCGUGGGGAGCAAACAGGAUUAGAUACCCGAGUAGUC
This 460-nucleotide ribosomal RNA is filed under the name uncultured bacterium. RNAcentral's name for it is "partial 16S ribosomal RNA". It matches the Rfam family "Bacterial small subunit ribosomal RNA", at positions 338 to 795 of the family's 1533-position model. The record is from RNAcentral.